Molecule: ribosomal RNA, 450 nt
Filed under: uncultured bacterium
Lineage: Bacteria
Description: partial 16S ribosomal RNA
Rfam family: Bacterial small subunit ribosomal RNA
Source: RNAcentral
CCUACGGGGGGCAGUAGUGGGGAAUAUUGGACAAUGGGCGAAAGCCUGAUCCAGCGACGCCGCGUGAGUGAUGAAGGCCUUCGGGUUGUAAAGCUCUGUCAGGAGGGAAGAAUGAGCCUGUGGCUAAUAUCCACGGGAAGUGACGGUACCUCCGGAGGAAGCACCGGCUAACUCUGUGCCAGCAGCCGCGGUAAUACAGAGGGUGCAAGCGUUGCUCGGAAUUACUGGGCGUAAAGCGUGUGUAGGCGGUGAAAUCCCUAGGCUCAACCUAGGAACUGCGCCCCAAACUGCGAGACUUGAGUGUCGGAGAGGAUAGUGGAAUUCCCAGUGUAGAGGUGAAAUUCGUAGAUAUUGGGAGGAACACCAGUGGCGAAGGCGGCUAUCUGGACGAACACUGACGCUGAGACACGAAAGCGUGGGGAGCAAACAGGAUUAGAUACCCGUGUAGUC